GACUGAUAACUGCCGAAUUCUCGCACCAAGAAGCGGGGGACCCGACCAUUUAUGGGUGAAUUGAUCAAUAUUAAAGUGAUCAUAGGGAACCUUCAACCGAAUCCUUAGCUAACCUCGCAGGCAUUGGAAGGAGUAUUA
Molecule: small RNA, 138 nt
Filed under: Paenibacillus sp.
Lineage: Bacteria; Bacillati; Bacillota; Bacilli; Caryophanales; Paenibacillaceae
Also listed under: 1 other name
Description: c-di-AMP sequence
Rfam family: c-di-AMP riboswitch aptamer (ydaO/yuaA leader)
About the family: This family represents a conserved RNA structure found upstream of the ydaO and yuaA genes in Bacillus subtilis and related genes in other bacteria.
Source: RNAcentral